This 717-nucleotide ribosomal RNA is filed under the name uncultured bacterium. RNAcentral's name for it is "bacterial SSU rRNA". It matches the Rfam family "Bacterial small subunit ribosomal RNA", at positions 335 to 1064 of the family's 1533-position model. The record is from RNAcentral.
ACUCCUACGGGUGGCUGCAGUGGGGAAUAUUGCACAAUGGGCGCAAGCCUGAUGCAGCGACGCCGCGUGGGGGAUGACGGCCUUCGGGUUGUAAACUCCUUUCGCCAGGGACGAAGCGUUUUGUGACGGUACCUGGAGAAGAAGCACCGGCUAACUACGUGCCAGCAGCCGCGGUAAUACGUAGGGUGCAAGCGUUGUCCGGAAUUACUGGGCGUAAAGAGCUCGUAGGUGGUUUGUCACGUCGUCUGUGAAAUUCCACAGCUUAACUGUGGGCGUGCAGGCGAUACGGGCUGACUUGAGUACUGUAGGGGUAACUGGAAUUCCUGGUGUAGCGGUGAAAUGCGCAGAUAUCAGGAGGAACACCGAUGGCGAAGGCAGGUUACUGGGCAGUUACUGACGCUGAGGAGCGAAAGCAUGGGUAGCAAACAGGAUUAGAUACCCUGGUAGUCCAUGCCGUAAACGGUGGGCGCUAGGUGUAGGGGCCUUUUGGGGUUUCUGUGCCGUAGCUAACGCAUUAAGCGCCCCGCCUGGGGAGUACGGCCGCAAGGCUAAAACUCAAAGGAAUUGACGGGGGCCCGCACAAGCGGCGGAGCAUGUGGAUUAAUUCGAUGCAACGCGAAGAACCUUACCUGGGCUUGACAUACACCAGAUCGCUGCAGAGAUGUAGUUUCCCUUGUGGCUGGUGUACAGGUGAUGCAUGGUUGUCGUCAGCUCGUG